Long non-coding RNA from Daphnia pulex (common water flea), 349 nucleotides. RefSeq lists it as uncharacterized. The transcript has 2 exons. Lineage: Eukaryota; Metazoa; Arthropoda; Branchiopoda; Diplostraca; Daphniidae. The record is from RefSeq and is a predicted model, not a curated record.
CCUAUACCGUUCUUUCUUUUUUCACGUUCGUUCGUUCAUCUUCUUCAUACCUGUUCGUUCUGGAGGAGUUUUUAAAAAAAGAAUUCCAAGUGAAAAAUUAAACCACAUUGUCUCUCGAAUAUAUUUUUGCACGUUGACAUGGCGAAAUGAGCACCCGACAUCUUGUUUCUCCUCUUCUUCCUCCUUUCGAGCGUGAAUCAUCUGACAAGCCGAUUCAUUUAACAACAACCAAAAAGAAACGUAUAGAAAAUUCGUCAGCAUCAUGAAAUCGUGAAAAACCGCGGAUCGGGUUUUUCGUCAUCGUUUUCCCAGAAAACCAAAAAAGAAGAGAAUAAUCAAAAUAAUAAAA